GACGAACGCUGGCGGCGUGCUUAACACAUGCAAGUCGAACGGAACUCUUUGGAUCAAGGCUUCGGCCAAGUGAAUUUGAGUUUAGUGGCGGACGGGUGAGUAACGCGUGAGGAACCUGCCUUUCAGAGGGGGACAACAGUUGGAAACGACUGCUAAUACCGCAUAACGCGUAGAGAUCGCAUGGUCUUUACGCCAAAGAUUUAUCGCUGAGAGAUGGCCUCGCGUCUGAUUAGCUAGUUGGUGAGGUAACGGCCCACCAAGGCGACGAUCAGUAGCCGGACUGAGAGGUUGACCGGCCACAUUGGGACUGAGAUACGGCCCAGACUCCUACGGGAGGCAGCAGUGGGGAAUAUUGGGCAAUGGGCGCAAGCCUGACCCAGCAACGCCGCGUGAAGGAAGAAGGCUUUCGGGUUGUAAACUUCUUUUGUCAGGGACGAACACAAUGACGGUACCUGACGAAUAAGCCACGGCUAACUACGUG
This 481-nucleotide ribosomal RNA is filed under the name uncultured bacterium. Its description in RNAcentral is "bacterial SSU rRNA". It matches the Rfam family "Bacterial small subunit ribosomal RNA", at positions 28 to 507 of the family's 1533-position model. The record is from RNAcentral.